RNAcentral lists this ribosomal RNA (435 nucleotides) under uncultured bacterium. Its description in RNAcentral is "bacterial SSU rRNA". It matches the Rfam family "Bacterial small subunit ribosomal RNA", at positions 957 to 1391 of the family's 1533-position model. The record is from RNAcentral.
GAACGCGAAGAACCUUACCAAAUCUUGACAUCCUUUGACAACUCUAGAGAUAGAGCCUUCCCCUUCGGGGGACAAAGUGACAGGUGGUGCAUGGUUGUCGUCAGCUCGUGUCGUGAGAUGUUGGGUUAAGUCCCGCAACGAGCGCAACCCUUAAGCUUAGUUGCCAUCAUUAAGUUGGGCACUCUAAGUUGACUGCCGGUGACAAACCGGAGGAAGGUGGGGAUGACGUCAAAUCAUCAUGCCCCUUAUGAUUUGGGCUACACACGUGCUACAAUGGACAAUACAAAGGGCAGCGAAACCGCGAGGUCAAGCAAAUCCCAUAAAGUUGUUCUCAGUUCGGAUUGUAGUCUGCAACUCGACUACAUGAAGCUGGAAUCGCUAGUAAUCGUAGAUCAGCAUGCUACGGUGAAUACGUUCCCGGGUCUUGUACACACC